GAGUUUGAUCAUGGCUCAGAUUGAACGCUGGCGGCAGGCCUAACACAUGCAAGUCGAACGGUAACGGGAAACAGCUUGCUGUUUCGCUGACGAGUGGCGGACGGGUGAGUAAUGUCUGGGAAACUGCCUGAUGGAGGGGGAUAACUACUGGAAACGGUAGCUAAUACCGCAUAACGUCGCAAGACCAAAGAGGGGGACCUUCGGGCCUCUUGCCAUCAGAUGUGCCCAGAUGGGAUUAGCUAGUAGGUGGGGUAACGGCUCACCUAGGCGACGAUCCCUAGCUGGUCUGAGAGGAUGACCAGCCACACUGGAACUGAGACACGGUCCAGACUCCUACGGGAGGCAGCAGUGGGGAAUAUUGCACAAUGGGCGCAAGCCUGAUGCAGCCAUGCCGCGUGUAUGAAGAAGGCCUUCGGGUUGUAAAGUACUUUCAGCGGGGAGGAAGGGAGUAAAGUUAAUACCUUUGCUCAUUGACGUUACCCGCAGAAGAAGCACCGGCUAACUCCGUGCCAGCAGCCGCGGUAAUACGGAGGGUGCAAGCGUUAAUCGGAAUUACUGGGCGUAAAGCGCACGCAGGCGGUUUGUUAAGUCAGAUGUGAAAUCCCCGGGCUCAACCUGGGAACUGCAUCUGAUACUGGCAAGCUUGAGUCUCGUAGAGGGGGGUAGAAUUCCAGGUGUAGCGGUGAAAUGCGUAGAGAUCUGGAGGAAUACCGGUGGCGAAGGCGGCCCCCUGGACGAAGACUGACGCUCAGGUGCGAAAGCGUGGGGAGCAAACAGGAUUAGAUACCCUGGUAGUCCACGCCGUAAACGAUGUCGACUUGGAGGUUGUGCCCUUGAGGCGUGGCUUCCGGAGCUAACGCGUUAAGUCGACCGCCUGGGGAGUACGGCCGCAAGGUUAAAACUCAAAUGAAUUGACGGGGGCCCGCACAAGCGGUGGAGCAUGUGGUUUAAUUCGAUGCAACGCGAAGAACCUUACCUGGUCUUGACAUCCACGGAAGUUUUCAGAGAUGAGAAUGUGCCUUCGGGAACCGUGAGACAGGUGCUGCAUGGCUGUCGUCAGCUCGUGUUGUGAAAUGUUGGGUUAAGUCCCGCAACGAGCGCAACCCUUAUCCUUUGUUGCCAGCGGUCCGGCCGGGAACUCAAAGGAGACUGCCAGUGAUAAACUGGAGGAAGGUGGGGAUGACGUCAAGUCAUCAUGCCCCUUACGACCAGGGCUACACACGUGCUACAAUGGCGCAUACAAAGAGAAGCGACCUCGCGAGAGCAAGCGGACCUCAUAAAGUGCGUCGUAGUCCGGAUUGGAGUCUGCAACUCGACUCCAUGAAGUCGGAAUCGCUAGUAAUCGUGGAUCAGAAUGCCACGGUGAAUACGUUCCCGGGCCUUGUACACACCGCCCGUCACACCAUGGGAGUGGGUUGCAAAAGAAGUAGGUAGCUUAACCUUCGGGAGGGCGCUUACCACUUUGUGAUUCAUGACUGGGGUGAAGUCGAAACAAGGUAACCGUAGGGGAACCUGCGGUUG
Molecule: ribosomal RNA, 1521 nt
Filed under: metagenome
Description: bacterial SSU rRNA
Rfam family: Bacterial small subunit ribosomal RNA
Source: RNAcentral